GAUGAAGAACACAGCGAAAUGCGAUAAGUAAUGUGAAUUGCAGAAUUCAGUGAAUCAUCGAAUCUUUGAACGCACAUUGCGCCCGCCAGUAUUCUGGCGAGCAUGCCUGUUCGAGCGUCAUUUCAACCAUCAAGCCCCAGGCUUGUGUUGGAGCCCUGCGGCUGCCGCAGCCUCCCAAAACCAGUGGCGGGCUCGCUAUCACACCGAGUGCAGUAGUUUACUCUUCGCUCAGGGCGUGUGGCGGGUGCUAGCCGUGAAACCCCCAACUUCUCAAGGUUGACCUCGGAUCAGGUAGGAAUACCCGCUGAACUUAAGCAUAUCAAUAAGCGGAGGA
Molecule: unclassified non-coding RNA, 334 nt
Filed under: soil metagenome
Description: partial contains 5.8S ribosomal RNA, internal transcribed spacer 2, and large subunit ribosomal RNA
Rfam family: 5.8S ribosomal RNA (bases 1-120)
Source: RNAcentral